This 1869-nucleotide long non-coding RNA is filed under the name Malus domestica (apple). RNAcentral describes it as "long non-coding RNA (MDOM_LNC008935)". Lineage: Eukaryota; Viridiplantae; Streptophyta; Magnoliopsida; Rosales; Rosaceae. The record is from RNAcentral.
UAAAAUAACUAAAAGCAGUUUUAGAUCAUCAAAAGCACUUCUGAUCAUGUUUCACAAAAAAAUUUAGAUGUUCUUUGAUAGUGGGCAACUUACAUGUUUAUUAAAAAAAUGCAAUGUACUUCUAAUAGAAGAACUUUCAAGAAAGAUACUUAUAAACAUAAAUGUUUUCUAAAGAAUCAAUUCCAAACGAGCAAUUAAUAUCGCUAUAGUAUCUAGGGUUGUUUCAAUGACAUUUCGUCUUAUUUCAUUCGACCCAUUUUGUUUAACUUAGUUAAUAUCAUGGAAUUAGAAGCACAUAUUAAUUUGUUCCUUAAUCUUUUUCAUGGAAUCCUGCAUUGUUAAGUAUAAGACAUUCGACGGGUUAAAAUAUGAAGAUUCAUGAUUAAGAUGUUGCAAAAGUGUGGAAGGAAAAACAAAUGUUAUAAUAUUAUUCAUGUUUAUCAUUAUUAGUAUUAGCUGUUGGAACAUCACAAUAUUGCGCAACUCAAUCGGCAAAGUCCCGUUAGUUGCAGAAGAUCGAUCUAGUUGACCCCAAAAAAAAUCAUCUAAUUUUGAAUUUGGAUACAGGACUUAAUACUAUCACUAUAUGACGUCCUCCUUAGACGUCAUUACAGCUACUGUUGUAUAUGGAUUGGAUCAACCUUGAUCCAUAAUCGGAUCCAUUUAUAUUCAAAUUAACAUAUUUGAAAUCUAUUCGGAUCAUCGGAUUUGACUUGUCGAUCCAGAUCGAAUUGGAUUAUUAUCAGAUUUAAUUUAAGACCUAGAAAAGAUCACAAUAUCAUUAAUAACCUCAUUCUUGUGUUAUAUCAUUUCUUUUUUUUUUUAUUUAAAAGUUUAAUGUUGAAUAAUAAGAAAAUAGGAUAUAAGUGUAUUUUUAUUUCAUAAAAAACUUAAACUACUCUUACACAAAAGUAUAAACAAUACAAAAAGGGGUGUGCUAUCCACACACCCCUUUUUACUUCUUACACACCUUUUGUUAAUUUAUGUCCGUUGAUCUUCUUCAAUUCAUCAAAUCCGACGGCCGAAAAUUAGAAGGAUGUGUGAGAAGUAAAAAAUGGUGUAUUGAUAUCACACCUCUAUAAAAAUUAAAUAAUAUGUUAUACUAAGUCUGAUCGGUCAACCUUGAUCCAUAUCAGGAUCCAUUUGUAUCAGACUAUCAAAUUCAAAUCUUAUUCAGAUAAUCGGAUUGGAAGUCGCGAUUCAUAUUCUAUUAAUUACAUCAUAUUCGGAUCAUAUCUAGGUCAAAAUCUGAUCCAUUAGUUACAAAAUAUUCUAAAUUUCUAUAUUUAUGAAUCUAAACAAGUGAAUUGGUUCAUGUCAAUUAAUAAAUUUUGAACUUUUGUCCAAAUUCUGAGGUUAUUUCCCUCAUACCCUCAUUCAAGAAUAGGGUUACCGUUUUUAUUGGUCUUUUUAUGGGAUAUCUUGUUUUUCUUUUAUGGGACAUUCACUUUUUAUAUAAGAUAAAUAUAUAAAAAAAAUUGCUAUGGUAUGUGAACUUGUUUUUCUUUAUUAACCUACUGUUACAAAGGAAAAAGUUCGAGAAUGGAAUUUACAGAAGAAAAAGGGCCAACCAACUAGGCAAAUACAUAAAAUUCCAUCUGUUAGAGAUAUACUUGCAAAAAAUUACUUUGUAUAAAUUAAUGGCACACCAACAAUUAAACAAAAGAGGCGUAAAGAGACAAAGGAUGUGGCUACUUAUAUUUCUUUCUUCCGAUUUGGUAAUUGGAAUUUUCUGUUAUGACUGUGACCCAAUACCAAUAGAUAUCACGUCAAAUAUAUACUUAAUAUAAAUUAUACAAUUUGAUCAAAUUCCUAACUACUACAAUUUUGUUUUUUUAAAUGAUCAGUUAGUGGCUUUGUCAUGUCAGU